AUUGAACGCUGGCGGCAGGCUUAACACAUGCAAGUCGAGCGGGGACUUCGGUCCUAGCGGCGAACGGGUGAGGAAUGCUUGGGAAUCUGCCCAGUAGCGGGGGAUAACGUUUCGAAAGGAACGCUAAUACCGCAUACGCCCUACGGGGGAAAGGGGGGGAUCUUCGGACCUCUCACUAUUGGAUGAGCCCAAGUCGGAUUAGCUAGUUGGUGAGGUAAAGGCUCACCAAGGCGACGAUCCGUAGCUGGUCUGAGAGGAUGAUCAGCCACACUGGAACUGAGAAACGGUCCAGACUCCUACGGGAGGCAGCAGUGGGGAAUAUUGGACAAUGGGCGAAAGCCUGAUCCAGCCAUGCCGCGUGUGUGAAGAAGGCCUUCGGGUUGUAAAGCACUUUAAGCGAGGAGGAAUGGCUCCGGGUUAAUACCCUUGAGCAUAGACGUUACUCGCAGAAUAAGCACCGGCUAACUCUGUGCCAGCAGCCGCGGUAA
Molecule: ribosomal RNA, 488 nt
Filed under: uncultured bacterium
Lineage: Bacteria
Description: partial 16S ribosomal RNA
Rfam family: Bacterial small subunit ribosomal RNA
Source: RNAcentral